Molecule: ribosomal RNA, 1009 nt
Filed under: uncultured Bifidobacterium sp.
Lineage: Bacteria; Bacillati; Actinomycetota; Actinomycetes; Bifidobacteriales; Bifidobacteriaceae
Description: bacterial SSU rRNA
Rfam family: Bacterial small subunit ribosomal RNA
Source: RNAcentral
UCGAUUGUCCCAGCCGCCGGGGUAAUACGUAGGGUGCAAGCGUUAUCCGGAAUUAUUGGGCGUAAAGGGCUCGUAGGCGGUUCGUCGCGUCCGGUGUGAAAGUCCAUCGCUUAACGGUGGAUCCGCGCCGGGUACGGGCGGGCUUGAGUGCGGUAGGGGAGACUGGAAUUCCCGGUGUAACGGUGGAAUGUGUAGAUAUCGGGAAGAACACCAAUGGCGAAGGCAGGUCUCUGGGCCGUUACUGACGCUGAGGAGCGAAAGCGUGGGGAGCGAACAGGAUUAGAUACCCUGGUAGUCCACGCCGUAAACGGUGGAUGCUGGAUGUGGGGCCCGUUCCACGGGUUCCGUGUCGGAGCUAACGCGUUAAGCAUCCCGCCUGGGGAGUACGGCCGCAAGGCUAAAACUCAAAGAAAUUGACGGGGGCCCGCACAAGCGGCGGAGCAUGCGGAUUAAUUCGAUGCAACGCGAAGAACCUUACCUGGGCUUGACAUGUUCCCGACGAUCCCAGAGAUGGGGUUUCCCUUCGGGGCGGGUUCACAGGUGGUGCAUGGUCGUCGUCAGCUCGUGUCGUGAGAUGUAGGGUUAAGUCCCGCAACGAGCGCAACCCUCGCCCCGUGUUGCCAGCGGAUUAUGCCGGGAGCUCACGGGGGACCGCCGGGGUUAACUCGGAGGAAGGUGGGGAUGACGUCAGAUCAUCAUGCCCCUUACGUCCAGGGCUUCACGCAUGCUACAAUGGCCGGUACAACGGGAUGCGACAGUGCGAGCUGGAGCGGAUCCCUGAAAACCGGUCUCAGUUCGGAUCGCAGUCUGCAACUCGACUGCGUGAAGGCGGAGUCGCUAGUAAUCGCGAAUCAGCAACGUCGCGGUGAAUGCGUUCCCGGGCCUUGUACACACCGCCCGUCAAGUCAUGAAAGUGGGCAGCACCCGAAGCCGGUGGCCUAACCCCUUGCGGGAGGGAGCCGUCUAAGGUGAGGCUCGUGAUUGGGACUAAGUCGUAACAAGGUAACCA